RNAcentral lists this RNase P RNA (335 nucleotides) under Pyropia pulchra. Its description in RNAcentral is "RnpB". It matches the Rfam family "Bacterial RNase P class A", at positions 43 to 352 of the family's 367-position model. From Rfam's summary of the family: Ribonuclease P (RNase P) is a ubiquitous endoribonuclease, found in archaea, bacteria and eukarya as well as chloroplasts and mitochondria. Its best characterised activity is the generation of mature 5'-ends of tRNAs by cleaving the 5'-leader elements of precursor-tRNAs. Cellular RNase Ps are ribonucleoproteins. Lineage: Eukaryota; Rhodophyta; Bangiophyceae; Bangiales; Bangiaceae. The record is from RNAcentral.
GAGGAAAGUCCGGGCUCCACAAAUACAAUUUAUGCUGGAGAAAUCCCAGUGUAGGUAACUAUGAGGAUAGUGCCACAGAAAUAAACCGCCAGAAUAAAAUAAAUAUAUUAGCUGGUAAGGGUGCAAAGGAAAGUUAACAGCUUACCAAAAAUACUGUAAAGUAUUUGUUAGGUAAACCCCUAAAACGGAGCAAAGCUACUAAACAAACUUUUGUGUAUAUUUUAUAUAGUUUAGUUCAAAAUACUGCAUGAAGUUAUUGGUAACAAUAACUCGAGAGGAAUAGCUAUCCUUUACAAUAUACCUUUAUUAUAUUGAAAGAACAGAACCCGGCUUAU